CCGCCAUUUCAUUCCGUUGAUAAACCCACAGUGGCCCUUCAACCCUAACCCUUGAUGUUACUUCUAGCUCGCAUCUCCCUCCAGAAACCACCAAUUCCCUCUCCCUCCCUAGCGUUAAUCGCUCGUCAUCUUUCUACCGCCUCAACCUCUUCAAAACUCCAUGACCACUACUCGUUUAAACCCCCACCCUCCCUCUCUCCCGAAAUCCCUCAGAAACCUAAUCCAACUCCCAGGAAAAAGCGAAAGCCCUUAUAUCGUCCACCUUCCUCGCUUGACCCGAUUGCCACAAAGCUCAC
Molecule: unclassified non-coding RNA, 296 nt
Filed under: Hevea brasiliensis (rubber tree)
Lineage: Eukaryota; Viridiplantae; Streptophyta; Magnoliopsida; Malpighiales; Euphorbiaceae
Source: RNAcentral